CGUAGAAGAACAACCAACCACAAAAUCGCUAAUCCGGGUGGGUCAGAUUGCGGUUUAUUUCGGCCCACCUCCGCUUCCUACCGUCGAUCUCCUCAUCGCGAGUUCGCCCGCCGCCUCCGCCGCCGAUCUCCAUUCCGCGAGCAGCGGCCGCCGGCGUCCUGCUGUUCCCGCCGCAUCCUCGCCGGCCGCUUCGAAAUGGCGAUACAUAUACAACAGAAAAGAAGUACAGCAUCAGGUCGUUGUCAUGGCAAACCAAUUUCCGAGAAACGAAGGCCCAGUGUUAAAUUGGAAGACCUUCCAGAGGAUGUGCUAUGCAUAAUCGUAUCAAAGUUGCCUCUAAAGGAGGUUUCAAGGACUAGUGUUUUGUCAAGUAGUUGGAGAUAUAUCUGGUCUAUUUGCCGUCCCAAAUUAAGUUUCAGUGGUUUUUGUGGGUUUUACGAUGAUCCUCAUGAAAGAGAACAAUACUCUCAGAAAUUCGCUGAAAAAGUUAAUGCAGUUUUGCGGAAGUAUGAUGGCAAGUUGAUCGAAGAAUUUGAUGUCAAGAUCGAAUUUGAUGCCGUGCUGAGUGAUCACCUCAACAAUUGGCUUACUUUUGCCAUGUUAUCACGGACCAAGAACCUAGCUUUCGAUUUAGAGCCUGCUACAUCGUACAGUUGGGGUGAUUGUCACACAUUUCCAUUUCACCUAUUGGAUCGUGAAAGCAUUUUCCGUCUACAGCGUAUUCAGCUUAGCUUCUUGUCUUUCAAACCACCACCUGAUUUCAGAGGAUUCCCAAACCUUAGAAAGCUUGAUCUGAAUUUAGUGCAUCUCAACAGAGAGGAUCUUGAAGUUAUGUUGCACGGUUGCCAUAAUCUUGAAUGGCUGAGCUUAGUCAGGUGCUAUCUCAAUGGCAAACUGGAGUUGUGUAAUCCAUUAUCCCGCCUGGCACACCUAGCAGUAAUCCAAUGUGGUGCAACCAUGGUAGAAAUCCACGUUCCCAAGCUUGCUAACUUCAAAUAUCAUGGAGACUUUGUGUCUAUCGCCAUAAAUCCCGCAUCGAAGCUGGAAAACGCAUACAUUUGGUUCUUCAAGGCAACUUUCGAGGACGCUCUUUCUGCACUUCUCAAUGGCAUUCCGAGCAUACAAAAUCUGACUUUGCAUAUUUAUUGGCUACGUAUAGAGGCGCAAAUGCCAAGUAACACAUGCAUCUUUCCUCAUCUGAGACACCUGCAGUUGCUGAUGAACAUACAACUUGAAUAUGCCAACAAGGUCCCGAAUGUGGUUUCUUCCUUAAUGAAGGCAGCUCCAUUCCUUCAAAAGUUAGAGGUUCAUUUUGGUGGCAAUGAUAAGAUAUGGUUUGCAGACCAGGGGCCUGGUAUGCCGCAGCUUACGCGCUGCGAAUACAGUUGUCUGAAGAAUGUGCACAUUACAGGGUACAAAGGGGCGAGAUGCCAGAUUGAGUUUCUUCUGCACAUAGUGGAAAACGCCCCUACACUGGAGGCAUUGACCAUAGACACAACUCAGGUACUAUAUGAAGAUUAUUAUGGCGCCAGAAUUGGCAGCAAGUUCUCCGAGUGUGUUGCUGUAGUUGCUAGGGAUUUUCUCCGUAGAAAGCUCCCGACAAAGGUGAAGCUCCACGUCAUGUAAGACUUGUUUAGGGCUGUAAAAAAAAAAAAAGCUGAGGCUCGUGAACUGCUCGAGAUGAAGCAUCAUCUCCUUUUCUCCAUCGAGCAUCGCUAGCUCUGAUCUGAUUCCCAUAGUCAGGGAUCACGUUUCUGA
RNAcentral lists this long non-coding RNA (1758 nucleotides) under Oryza sativa Indica Group (long-grained rice). RNAcentral's name for it is "lncRNA OsLiXu_03g0024980". Lineage: Eukaryota; Viridiplantae; Streptophyta; Magnoliopsida; Poales; Poaceae. The record is from RNAcentral.